Long non-coding RNA from Zingiber officinale, 845 nucleotides. RefSeq lists it as uncharacterized. The record is from RefSeq and is a predicted model, not a curated record. The transcript has 2 exons. NCBI's taxonomy places the organism in Eukaryota, Viridiplantae, Streptophyta, Magnoliopsida, Zingiberales, Zingiberaceae.
AAAUUAUUCUGGUCUCUAGUGGAGUCGAUAGGUUUGGACUCGACUGAGUUGUGGGCUGAGUUCCUAACUUUCUUCAAUCCCAUCGAGCUAUGAAAAUUCAGUUGGAUGAGCUAGAGGCUCAAUAUAUCCCUCCCAGUCAAGAAUUAGAGGAGAUAAAGGGAUAGGUGGAGCAAUAUAAGGCCAAGGUCACAACCCAAGAAGAGCAGUUGUGUCUGAUGCAAUAGGAGUUAAAUAAGGCCAAGGUUGAGAUGACAUCCAUCAAAGGGCAGUUGGGUGAGUUCCAAGCCAGCAUGAAGAAAUUGGAAUCACAGACCUCCUAGAAGAAGAAAUGGCGGAGGAAGGCCUCAGCUGCAUUAGAGGCGACAAAGGCAGAGUCGGAAACUUAGAAGGCAGAGAUGAAGGUGAUGAGGGCUGAGUUGGAGGCGGGGAAGGCCGAGUUCAAGACUCAGAGGACUGAAAUAGAGGCCUUGAAGGUUAAUAUGGAAACCUAGAAAGGCAUGAUGGAAAGUAAGGAGGCGAAGCUCAAAGGCUAUUUGGUUGGAGGAGAGGGGCGCUAGUCCGCUAGGAAGAGAGAAUGCCUAUAGUUGGAAGAGUUAUAUGAUCUACUCGGCGACCACAUCCUCAAGAUAAUUAAGUAUCUUUAACGGAGUUGUCCGUCAUAUCCAAGAAGUCGGACACCUCCCAACCGACCUUCCCCUAAGCUUCAUGAAUCUGAGGAAUGUCUGUAAUGAUAUCCCUCUGGAGGACCUCACUAACUUAGAGUAAUCUUGUUUUAUUUUGACUUUUUGUAAGCCUCACCUUUUGUACUUGGUUAAAUUGAUAAUGAAAUUGAAAGGAUUUACUUU